RNAcentral lists this unclassified non-coding RNA (517 nucleotides) under Diabrotica virgifera virgifera (western corn rootworm). RNAcentral describes it as "uncharacterized LOC126886032". Lineage: Eukaryota; Metazoa; Arthropoda; Insecta; Coleoptera; Chrysomelidae. The record is from RNAcentral.
ACCUCACUUCGGCGCUUCGGCCAUCUUGGCAUGCAUCUUGGCCUUGGCCGUUGGCCACCUUGCCGUGAUCGUUGUUUGUUUUUAUUUGUGCUUUUUAAGAAUAUUUUUUUAAUUCGGAUACUUUUAUAAUAACUUUAAUAGUAUUAUUAACAGUGCAUAAAAUCAGUUGGAGUAGCAGAAGCAAUGUAGAUAAAAAAUCUGCAGGAAUAACGUUUCAAAGCUUUCCAGAAGAUCCUGCGAAGAAGGCAUGAAGUAUUGAUCAGAUUUGUUAAUAGAGCAGUAUGUUCAAAACAUUUUUUAGAAAAAGAUAUUGACAGAACUUCACUUUCAACUGUUCGUUUGAGAGACCGUGCUGUUCCAAUAGCUUAUAUCACACAGAAUCAGCUGAGAGAAGUGGUCUACAAAAAACCAGGAAGGAAAUGGAAUAUGUGGCUAUGAAAGGCAAAAGAAAGGUUUACAAAGCAAAUGUGACACAUUUUUUUAUAGGAAUAUCAGUAAAUUACAUUAAAAGGUUUUU